RNAcentral lists this long non-coding RNA (1434 nucleotides) under Equus caballus (horse). RNAcentral's name for it is "lncRNA (ENSECAG00000056771.1)". The record is from RNAcentral. Lineage: Eukaryota; Metazoa; Chordata; Mammalia; Perissodactyla; Equidae.
GGGCCCCCAGACCUCCAAUCAUCCUCUUCAUCGGAGAAAGCUGCGUAUUUCCUGCUAGACGGACAACUGCUAGAAGGUUCCAUGACUUCUUUGCAGGUGUCCCAAGUUGUGCCGGCCGAUUUGCAUGUCAGGACCGCUCGCAACCUCCGCCGGAGUUGACCGUCUUUCCAGUCCUCACCCGGCUCCUGCUCCGGGUCCCCGCGCGCGGCGGGCGGCGGUGCGCCCUGUUCGGCCUGGAGGGGCCUCGCGGUCCCACCCCCGCCCGCCGGCGCACUGGCCUUCAUCUUCAUUUCCCCCUCUCGUGUGCGCGCGUCAGGGUUUCAAGACCAGCCAGGCGCGGAGGCGACAUCGCUCCCGAGCCGGUGCGCUCAAGGUGGAACUUAGUCCACACCCGCAGCUUCGGCCCUUGAGUGGCAGUCUCCUCCCCUCCCCGCCUCGCGCCUCGGGAUGGGGGUAGGCGAGCGGCUGCGCCGUGGGAGGGGCCGCCACCACACCCAGACUAGGGGCGCCGGCGUCUGGGAUGAGAGCGGCAGUUGACGCGGAAAGUGGGGGGAGAGCUCCUCGAUAGUCGUCCUGAUGUGCUGGUCACCGCUGUGGGGGCAGUAACACCCUCCUCCAGGCGGAGGGGGCAGCUGACUUGCCCUCCACUCUCCUCUCCACCCCCCAGCCUCCCUGGAGCAGGUCCCCGCGCACCGCUGGGUGGAAAAGCUCUCCACCCGCCUCCCCGGCUCCCUCCACAUCUGGGAACAGGGAGGGCUGGAGAGUAAGGCCUCCUCUUCCUGAGACAGGACCCCUGCGGAGUGAGCCCUCCAGGCCGACUUCCUUUUUACGUCGAGGGCUUCACGCGCCCCUGAACCCUCCCUUCAAAGUUAAUUUCAAUUUUUCCUUAUGAUGCUUAUAAUGACCACGGACGGUGUCUGCGCGUAUAACUGAGCCUGAGAUGGGCCGCCGUUCGAGGCAGGAGAGACCAGCAGUUGCGCUAGUGUCUGUAACUCCCACCCUCCGGCCAAGACCUGCAUCGGCGGGAUCUGAGCCCGCACCUGUGGCACCGGGACCGGGUCUUCCGGACCCGAAGUGUCCGGCCCUCUGCAGGGCGGGGAUCCGGCGGGGGCCCUUAGUCACAAGCUUAGUUCACCAGGGAAUCCUUGGAACAAAAGGAAAGCGCGUCUCUGCGACCGAGACCCGCGAACCAUCUGCGCCAGCCAAGAGUGGUCCACGUGGGAGGAGCCGCGGACCUCAAUCCGGACGCAGGCCGCCAGCGGCUGAGCCCACCCUGCGAGGGCAUCUGUGUGAGGGGUCUUCCUGGCGGGAUAGAUAGCGGGGCCGUUCCCUUCAGCUCUCUCCACGCCCCACACCUCGGUUCGAGCGUUGGGAGAAUUCCUCGUUUCAGGCACGGAAAUGAUGUCCAAGUCUGCAUCCGGGAAGCGCUCACUG